RNAcentral lists this unclassified non-coding RNA (338 nucleotides) under fungal sp. RNAcentral's name for it is "partial internal transcribed spacer region". The stretch from base 1 to 46 matches the Rfam family "Eukaryotic small subunit ribosomal RNA", at positions 1786 to 1831 of the family's 1831-position model. Lineage: Eukaryota; Fungi. The record is from RNAcentral.
AAGUCGUAACAAGGUUUCCGUAGGUGAACCUGCGGAAGGAUCAUUAACACGUUCCAAAACGUAUCAACCAAACGGUUAAGUGCAAACUUAUUCCCUCAUACAGGGAGCUGUUCAUCUGAAUCUAGUGAUGGGUAAGUCUUCGGGCUUACAGAAGCAGAUGAGCUAGGGUCUCGAGCCCAAAGUUCCUUAUGUGAGGCUUUCCUUUUUUUUUCCCAUCACUUCCAAUUCACCAUUUUCACCCCUUUAAACCAUUUGACUAAAUCUUUCGAACGAAGAAAUUUGUUUGGAAUUGUAUAUCUAACACUGUACAACUCUUAGCAAUGGAUAUCUUGGUUCUC